UACGUAGGGUGCGAGCGUUGCUCGGAAUCACUGGGCGUAAAGGGUGCGUAGGCGGGUCUUUUAAGUCAGGGGUGAAAUCCUGGAGCUCAACUCCAGAACUGCCUUUGAUACUGAGGAUCUUGAGUUCGGGAGAGGUGAGUGGAACUGCGAGUGUAGAGGUGAAAUUCGUAGAUAUUCGCAAGAACACCAGUGGCGAAGGCGGCUCACUGGCCCGAUACUGACGCUGAGGAGCGAAAGCGUGGGGAGCGAACAGG
RNAcentral lists this ribosomal RNA (254 nucleotides) under uncultured bacterium. Its description in RNAcentral is "partial 16S ribosomal RNA". It matches the Rfam family "Bacterial small subunit ribosomal RNA", at positions 524 to 776 of the family's 1533-position model. The record is from RNAcentral.